UGUUUGGAUACCAUUUAUUUCUUUUCUUACCUCAUUACUCAGGCUGGGACUUACAGUUCUGUGUUCUGUAUGAGUAGUGAAGGCACGCAUCAUUGUCUUGUUUCUAAUCUUAGAAGAAAAGCUUUCAACAUUUUGUCAUUGAAUGUUAGCCAUGGGUUUCUCAUAUAUGGCCUCUAUUAUGUUGAGGUACAUUCCUUCUACAUCUAUGUUGUUGAGUAUGUUUACUAUAAAAAUAUGUCAUAUUUUGUUAACUGCCUUUCUGCAUCUAUUGAGAUAAUUGUAUGAUUUUUAUCUUUCAUUCUACUGUGUGGUGUAUCAUAUAUGCUGAUCUGUGUACUUGUCUCUUCCUGUAUCCCUGCUAUAUAUUCCUUUUGAUCAUGGUGUGUGAACCUUUUAAUGUGCUUUUGAAUUUGGUUUGCUGAUACUUUGCUGAGAAAUUUUGCAUCUAUAUUCACCGGGGAUAUAGGUCUAUAGAUUUCAUUUAUUCUUUUUUUCUUUGUAGUAUUUAUCAGUGUUUAGUGUCAGGAUAAUGAUAAUCUUGUAAAAUGAGUUUGGAAUGUCCUUCCUAAUUUUUUGAAGGAUUUAAGAAGAAUUGGUGCUGAUUUUUUUUGGUAAAUGUUUGAGAGUGGAGGGGUAGCUAAACAUAAAUUAGACAAAAUAGAUCUUAAAACAAAAGUGGUAACAAGAGAAAAAAAUACAUCAUUAUAUGAAGGGGUCAAUUAAUCAAGAAGAUAUAACUGGUAAAUAUUUAGAACUCAAGAUUCAAUCACAUAAACUUAUUAAGCAAAUGCUAACAGAUAUGAAGGGGGAAACAGACAACAAUAUAAUAAUCAUAGCGACUUCAAUAUUCUAAUAUUAACAGUGGAUAAAUCAUUCUGACAAAAUCAAUAGGAAAAUAUUGGAUUUGAGUCAGACUUUAGACUAAAAAAUUUAAUAAAGAUAUAUAGAUCAUUUCAUCCAACAACAGCAGGAUACACAUUCUUGCCAAGCACAUUAUCUGGGAUAGAUCACAAGAUAAUUUACAAAACAAGUCUUAGCAAAUGUUUUUUAAAGAUUUAUUUAUUUAUUCAUUAGAGAGAGAGAGAGGCAGAGACACAGGCAGAGAGAGAAGCAGGCUCCUCGCAGGGGGCCUAAUGUGGAGCUUGAUCCCCCGACCCGGGGUCACACCCUGAGCAGAAGGCAGAUGCUCAACCACUGAGCCACUCAGGCGUCUCAAGUCUUUUUUUUUAUAUAUAUAUAUUUUAUUUAUUUAUUCAUGAGAGACAGAGAGAGAGAGAGAGAGAGAGAGAGAGAGAGGCAGAGACACGGAGAAGCAGGCUCCAUGCAGGGAGCCUGAUGUGGGACUCGAUCCUGGGUCUCCAGGAUCAGGCCCUGAACUGAAGGAGGCGCUAAACCCCUGAGCCACCUCGGCUUCACCAGGCGUCCCAAGUCUUAGCAAAUUUAAGAAGAUUGAACUCAUCUUUUUGUGAUCACAGUGAUACAAGAUGAAGAAGCAUAACAAAACAAAAGCUGAAAAACUUCAAAAUACAUAAAAAUUAAAUAAAAUCCUCCACCCCAAAACCAAUGGAUCAAAGAACAUCAGAGAGAAAUCAAAAUAUCUUUAAAAAUUGUGUAUACAACACCAAUUACUAAAAUUUAUGGGAUACUGCAAUCUCAGGGGAAAGUAUACCACAAUAAAACCCAAAUUAG
RNAcentral lists this long non-coding RNA (1689 nucleotides) under Canis lupus familiaris (dog). RNAcentral's name for it is "lncRNA (ENSCAFG00845016155.1)". The record is from RNAcentral. Lineage: Eukaryota; Metazoa; Chordata; Mammalia; Carnivora; Canidae.